AACUCUUAGCGGUGGCUCACUCGGCUCGUGCGUCGAUGAACAAUGCAGCUAGCUGCGAGAACUAAUGUGAAUGGCAGGACACGUUCAUCAUCAACACUUCGAAUGCACUUUGCGGCCCCGUGCUCCUCGUGGCGCUACGCCUGUCUGUGUGUCA
Pelmatolapia mariae (spotted tilapia) is the source of this 154-nucleotide ribosomal RNA. RefSeq annotates it as 5.8S ribosomal RNA. The record is from RefSeq and is a predicted model, not a curated record. Lineage: Eukaryota; Metazoa; Chordata; Actinopteri; Cichliformes; Cichlidae. The transcript has a single exon.